UGUUUGCAAAAAGAACAGCGAUUUUCAACACAUACAUCACAAAAUACGACACUCGUCGCUGCAACAACGAUGGCGAUUGCAUAAUGAUGAUGAUGUUGGUGUAACUUCCGCUGGAUUGGCAUAUGUGUUAUUUAACAUUUAACCUCCACCACCCAAUUAUAAUGAACGGCCACGGAAAUUAAAGAUAUUACAAAAAAUAAGUACUCAAUAAGCACGAGCUAAAGCAAUGGCAAUGACGCCUGCCCGUCUACCCAAUCACCAUCCAUCAUCCAUCCAUCCAACCAGUUCGAACCAGUUCAGUUUCAACGGUUGAAACUUCAAACUUUCCGGACGCGCAACGGGUAGCAGUUGGAGUCUUCGCGGCUGCAUUCCACUGGUUGUUAUACGAAAAUCUUUCGAAGUUCUAAUCUCCCGCGCGUUUUGUCUUGCAAUUUUUGAGCAUAGCGAGAACGUACGCCGUGCUGUCCAGUGAUAAAAGCUGUUGAGCACAGCAGAGCUCCCAGAGUACUGUGGUGGACAACGUUUCUUUGUUCUCUGGCUUUCCAAGUUUAAGGGGUGCUUGGACUAUCUUGCAUCGGUGGAUAUGAAAAUAGUGGUAACCUACCCUACGAAACAGCUGUUUGCACAUAAGCUUAACAGUUCCCUGUGAGAUGCUGUGAAAGUCAGCAGGGAAGUGCGAUGUAGAAGAAACGACUGCCAGAAGCUUGCUAAGGAACCGCACAACCUGUGUGGGCAGCAGACAAAAUAUUCAUCAAACGGUACAAAACUAGUAUUUUUGUGCUUGGUCGUUUUGAGACAUCCUUGGUAUUGUAUGGAGAACAGCGUGACUAUGUCAUUCCGUCUUACUUCACCCAAACAGCUAUCUGGUAGUAGUGCAAGAUUUGAGUUCGUAAAAGGUUUAUUCACUGAAGUCACCUCAGCGCCAUACUAUAGGUCCCGCAAUGUUUAGUCCUUGCAUUUGUUUGCUGCAUUAUGCUUUUUAGGUGACUAUUAACACCAAAAAUAUGGAAAUUGCUCAGACAUUCUACAAAUCACAGAGCAACAAGUUUUAAACACCAGAUAUACGGUGAGUAUAAUAUGGGUAACAGCUUGACUGAAGUCUACAAUAGGGCCGAUGGCAGCAAAUCUGCCUGCUAGCGACAGUGGCGGUCUCCUGCGGAUGACGUCAUGUGAAUAAACUUG
This is a long non-coding RNA of Ornithodoros turicata, 1182 nucleotides long. RefSeq lists it as uncharacterized. The transcript has 3 exons. The record is from RefSeq and is a predicted model, not a curated record. NCBI's taxonomy places the organism in Eukaryota, Metazoa, Arthropoda, Arachnida, Ixodida, Argasidae.